This 649-nucleotide ribosomal RNA is filed under the name uncultured bacterium. RNAcentral describes it as "bacterial SSU rRNA". It matches the Rfam family "Bacterial small subunit ribosomal RNA", at positions 51 to 689 of the family's 1533-position model. The record is from RNAcentral.
ACACAUGCAAGUCGAACGGUAACAGGAAUCAGCUUGCUGAUUCGCUGACGAGUGGCGGACGGGUGAGUAAUGUCUGGGAAACUGCCUGAUGGAGGGGGAUAACUACUGGAAACGGUAGCUAAUACCGCAUAACGUCGCAAGACCAAAGAGGGGGACCUUCGGGCCUCUUGCCAUCGGAUGUGCCCAGAUGGGAUUAGCUAGUAGGUGGGGUAACGGCUCACCUAGGCGACGAUCCCUAGCUGGUCUGAGAGGAUGACCAGCCACACUGGAACUGAGACACGGUCCAGACUCCUACGGGAGGCAGCAGUGGGGGAUAUUGCACAAUGGGCGCAAGCCUGAUGCAGCCAUGCCGCGUGUAUGAAGAAGGCCUUCGGGUUGUAAAGUACUUUCAGCGGGGAGGAAGGGAGUAAAGUUAAUACCUUUGCUCAUUGACGUUACCCGCAGAAGAAGCACCGGCUAACUCCGUGCCAGCAGCCGCGGUAAUACGGAGGGUGCAAGCGUUAAUCGGAAUUACUGGGCGUAAAGCGCACGCAGGCGGUUUGUUAAGUCAGAUGUGAAAUCCCCGGGCUCAACCUGGGAACUGCAUCUGAUACUGGCAAGCUUGAGUCUCGUAGAGGGGGGUAGAAUUCCAGGUGUAGCGGUGAAAUGC